This 484-nucleotide ribosomal RNA is filed under the name uncultured bacterium. RNAcentral describes it as "partial 16S ribosomal RNA". It matches the Rfam family "Bacterial small subunit ribosomal RNA", at positions 30 to 507 of the family's 1533-position model. The record is from RNAcentral.
AUUGAACGCUGGCGGCAGGCCUAACACAUGCAAGUCGAGCGGAUGAAGGGAGCUUGCUCCUGGAUUCAGCGGCGGACGGGUGAGUAAUGCCUAGGAAUCUGCCUGGUAGUGGGGGAUAACGUCCGGAAACGGGCGCUAAUACUGCAUACGUCGUGAGGGAGAAAGUGGGGGAGCUUCGGACCUCACGCUAUCAGAUGAGCCUAGGUCGGAUUAGCUAGUUGGUGGCGUAAAGGCCUACCAAGGCGACGAACCGUAACUGGUCUGAGAGGAUGAUCAGUUACACGGGAACUGAGGCACGGUCCAGACACCUACGGUAGGCAGCGGUGGAGAAUAUUGGACGAGGGGGCAGAGCCUGAUCCAGCCAAGCCGCGUGUGUGAUGAAGGUCUUCGGAUUGUAAAGCACUUUAGGUUGGGAGGAAGUGCAGUAAGUUAACACCUGGCUAUAUUGACGUUACCAGCAGAAUAAGCACCGGCUAACUUCGUG